Molecule: ribosomal RNA, 396 nt
Filed under: uncultured bacterium
Lineage: Bacteria
Description: partial 16S ribosomal RNA
Rfam family: Bacterial small subunit ribosomal RNA
Source: RNAcentral
AUACGUAGGUGACAAGCGUUAUCCGGAUUUACUGGGCGUAAAGGGCGUGUAGGCGGAGAUGCAAGUCAGGAGUGAAAUCUAGGGGCUCAACCCCUAAACUGCUUUUGAAACUGUAUCCCUUGAGUAUCGGAGAGGCAGGCGGAAUUCCUAGUGUAGAGGUGAAAUGCGUAGAUAUUAGGAGGAACACCAGUGGCGAAGGCGGCCUGCUGGACGACAACUGACGCUGAGGCGCGAAAGCGUGGGGAGCAAACAGGAUUAGAUACCCUGGUAGUCCACGCUGUAAACGAUGAAUACUAGGUGUGGGGGGACUGACCCCCUCCGUGCCGCAGUUAACACAAUAAGUAUUCCACCUGGGGAGUACGAUCGCAAGAUUGAAACUCAAAUGAAUUGACGGGG